CAAGUCGUGGGGCAGCAGGUUUGUAGCAAUACAGAUGCUGGCGACCGGCAAACGGGUGCGUAACACGUACGCAACUUACCCAUUACUGGGGAAUAGCCCAGGGAAACUUGGAUUAAUACCCCAUAUUAUAUAGAGUAGGCAUCUACUUUAUAUCAAAGCUUCGGCGGUAAUGGAUGGGCGUGCGGUUGAUUAGAUAGUUGGCGGGGUAACGGCCCACCAAGUCUACGAUCAAUAGCUGAUGUGAGAGCAUGAUCAGCCACACGGGCACUGAGACACGGGCCCGACUCCUACGGGAGGCAGCAGUAAGGAAUAUUGGGCAAUGGACGAAAGUCUGACCCAGCCAUGCCGCGUGAAGGAUGAAGGUCCUCUGGAUUGUAAACUUCUUUUAUCUGGGGCGAAAAUCACCCUUUCUAGGGUGCUUGACAGUACCAGAUGAAUAAGCACCGGCUAACUCCGUGCCAGCAGCCGCGGUAAUACGGAGGGUGCAAGCGUUAUCCGGAUUCACUGGGUUUAAAGGGUGCGUAGGCGGGCAGGUAAGUCAGUGGUGAAAUCUUCGAGCUUAACUCGGAAACUGCCGUUGAUACUAUCUGUCUUGAAUUUAGUGGAGGUAAGCGGAAUAUGUCAUGUAGCGGUGAAAUGCUUAGAUAUGACAUAGAACACCAAUUGCGAAGGCAGCUUGCUACACUAUUAUUGACGCUGAGGCACGAAAGCGUGGGGAUCAAACAGGAUUAGAUACCCUGGUAGUCCACGCCCUAAACGAUGAUUACUCGACAUCAGCGAUACACUGUUGGUGUCUAAGCUAAAGCAUUAAGUAAUCCACCUGGGAAGUACGAUCGCAAGAUUGAAACUCAAAGGAAUUGGCGG
This 864-nucleotide ribosomal RNA is filed under the name uncultured bacterium. Its description in RNAcentral is "bacterial SSU rRNA". It matches the Rfam family "Bacterial small subunit ribosomal RNA", at positions 58 to 916 of the family's 1533-position model. The record is from RNAcentral.